GUGGGGGUCGCCAAGUCUGGUCAAAGGCGCAAGGCUCAGGACCUUGUCUCUUAGUGAGUUCGAGGGUUCAAAUCCCUCCCCCCACA
RNAcentral lists this transfer RNA (86 nucleotides) under Candidatus Burarchaeum australiense. RNAcentral describes it as "tRNA-Ser(cag)". It matches the Rfam family "tRNA". From Rfam's summary of the family: Transfer RNA (tRNA) molecules are approximately 80 nucleotides in length. Their secondary structure includes four short double-helical elements and three loops (D, anti-codon, and T loops). Lineage: Archaea; Nanobdellati; Microcaldota; Candidatus Micrarchaeia; Candidatus Burarchaeales; Candidatus Burarchaeaceae. The record is from RNAcentral.